UACGAAGGGGGCUAGCGUUGUUCGGAAUUACUGGGCGUAAAGCGCACGCAGGCGGUGUGAUCAGUCAGAAGUGAAAGCCCUGGGCUCAACCCGGGAAUUGCUUUUGAUACUGUCACGCUAGGAUCCGUGAGAGGACAGUGGAAUUCCAAGUGUAGAGGUGAAAUUCGUAGAUAUUUGGAAGAACACCAGUGGCGAAGGCGACUGUCUGGCACGGUAUCGACGCUCAUGUGCGAAAGCGUGGGGAGCAAACAGGAUUAGAUACCCUGGUAGUCCACGCUGUAAACGAUGAGAGCUAGAUGUCGGGGUCUUAAGAUCUCGGUGUCGUAGUUAACGCGUUAAGCUCUCCGCCUGGGGAGUACGGUCGCAAGAUUA
RNAcentral lists this ribosomal RNA (372 nucleotides) under uncultured prokaryote. RNAcentral describes it as "bacterial SSU rRNA". It matches the Rfam family "Bacterial small subunit ribosomal RNA", at positions 524 to 896 of the family's 1533-position model. The record is from RNAcentral.